This is a non-coding RNA of Ornithorhynchus anatinus (platypus), 138 nucleotides long. The record is from Rfam. Lineage: Eukaryota; Metazoa; Chordata; Mammalia; Monotremata; Ornithorhynchidae.
UACCUUCUCAGGGUCGCACCUGGAGAGUUGCCAGUAUUCUACCAGUCUCAGCCACGGAAGGGAGAGUCAAGCAGAGGCGUACCCAUUCCAUUUCUAACUUGGGCACGGUUAGCAAAUGGAAGGCAAUCUGCUAAAAGU